Long non-coding RNA from Macrobrachium nipponense, 1748 nucleotides. RefSeq lists it as uncharacterized. Lineage: Eukaryota; Metazoa; Arthropoda; Malacostraca; Decapoda; Palaemonidae. The record is from RefSeq and is a predicted model, not a curated record. The transcript has 2 exons.
AGGAGAGAGAGAGAGAGAGAGAGAGAGAGAGAGAGAGAGAGAGAGAGAGAGAGAUGAUUCUGGUUAUUUUCAAAACCAAGAUUAUUUUAUCAAUUUACUGAUAGGAGAGAGAGACAAUAAUACUUGCUCACAUAUUCGUCAGUAACAACCGCACGUCUUGAUCUCAUUCGUCUUUUGUUAUUCGUUUAUUCAACGGCAUCCGUAUUGUUUAAUCUUUCUCGCGAAAGUUGCAAACGAUUGGGAGCUAAGCAACGCGAACGCGACGCGAAUAGUCGCAAAAAAGACAACAACGAUCGCGUCCCACACGGAAAAGUCGCUACGUGGCCCAUUUAUUUUUUCUUUUUUAGUCGCUGUGUGACGUGACGUCUCUAAGCUUUAUGACGUAAAGGCUUCAUUCCUGUCCAGCGAUUGGUCCGGUCACCGAGAGUGAUGACGUCAUGCAUCGGUCCUUAACUGUGAUUGGUCCGUUUCGGUAUCUCGGCCAGCAGAUGCCACAGAGCUCCGUCUGACGACGUAGCGGUCUCGGUGGUACCAGAGGACGAGAGAAAGAGCGAGCGAGAGAAAGAGAGAAUCUGUACUGUAGACGGAGAUCAGUUUAGAAGCAAGAACCGACAGUCGACAGAGCGAUGUCUCUCCGGUACAGCUCCAGAAGCGUCUCAGACGGCAUCAACCUUCUGAAGGGCCGCUACUGUUCGACGGGGAACCUGGAGGCAGACAAGCGACUGACGCCCUGCACCGUAGACCUAUACAUCCGCCCUAUCUUCGGGGAAGGUGGCGGGGCUGUGCCCAUCUGCCAAACACUGGCUGCUCCACUUCAAGUGGAGCCACGACGAGCUGACCUUCGAAGCCAACGACGUCGGCGGGCGUCUGGAGCCCAUGGCGUAUCCAGGAGCGCCGGAGCCUAUGGAACGGGGGACCUACGAGGUGAGGAGACUAGCUAGAGACCUCCGUGUCUACCCGCAGAGAGUUCUUGACCUGGCGAAAGAGAACAGGUAUAACGGACGAGGGUACAGCUUACUGGGUUGCAACUGCCAGCAUUGGGCACGAGAACUCGGGCGUCUCUUGGGCAUCAAGCUCCCUGACGACCAGGCCACUGAAGGGGCAGAUAUUGCAGCGACGACCACAAUUCUCGGUGGUUUAGUCUUGGUUUUGGAGCAUUGCUUGGAGCAGCGCUUUCGAAGGGAAAUAAGAAUUGAAACCUACAUCAGUUAACAGAUGAGAGAGAAACGUUCGAUGGACACCACCUACAGUGUCGACAUAAUAAUGGCGACUGGGUCUUGGGAAAAAAACGCAAUGAUAGUCGAAUACUAGUUAAUAUUUCCGUUUUUUGGUGGUGGAGAGGUGAGGGGCGCAUUGUGUGAGCUGUCGUGUGAAUUGCUGUCGCAUUUCGUAAUGGGACGAUCGGUGUAUUAGUGCAAUAAGGUCAUUCAUUUUCGUUUAAUGUAUAUGUAUAUAUACGUACAUAUACAUAAGAAAUUAUAUAGAUUUAUUAUUGAUAAAAAAAAAGUAUAUUGAAUUAUUCAACCCUUUGAAUAACUUGAUUCUUUCAAAAUAUAAUCAUGCAUAGUAAUUAUGCACACUAGUUAUCAUGCAUACUAAUAAUGCAUACUAGUUAUGCAUACUACUUAUGCCCCAUGUUUGUAUAUGCAUUUGUCUCUUUUGUCAGUCGUGACAGAAGAAGUUAUAUAAAUGUUCCUGUAUAAUGACAAAACACUUUUGACUAAAUAAACGAAAGAUAAAAAAAUGGA